This is a non-coding RNA of Arachis ipaensis, 355 nucleotides long. The record is from RefSeq and is a predicted model, not a curated record. Lineage: Eukaryota; Viridiplantae; Streptophyta; Magnoliopsida; Fabales; Fabaceae.
UAAAGUGAAUUCUUUUGUUUUUCUUGUACUGUGGCAGAACUUAGCUAAAUCCAUAGAUAAUGUGGGAUUACAUGAUUUAUUUCAAAAGUUUGGAAAUAUCUUGUCCAGCUUUGGGAAUUGCUUUGGUGCUUCAAAUUGGUUUAGAGGGAGUGAUGAUAGUGAUACUGCUGAGAAGCCACGGGAACGAGGUAAUAGAAUUGAGGAUAAUAUUGAGGAUGACAAUGAAGAUUAAGCUGUUUAUCAUUGUGGUUUAUGGGUUAAGAUGGAGUAAUGUUGAGAAUGGAUACAUGUAUGGUAGACUAAUUACUUUUAUUAGAAGAUACUUAUAUAGAAUAUAAUAUUUUAGUUUUUCGUA